RNAcentral lists this ribosomal RNA (749 nucleotides) under uncultured Sulfurimonas sp. Its description in RNAcentral is "bacterial SSU rRNA". It matches the Rfam family "Bacterial small subunit ribosomal RNA", at positions 578 to 1325 of the family's 1533-position model. The record is from RNAcentral. Lineage: Bacteria; Pseudomonadati; Campylobacterota; Epsilonproteobacteria; Campylobacterales; Sulfurimonadaceae.
GGUUGUCAAGUCAGGUGUGAAAUCCUACAGCUUAACUAUAGAACUGCACUUGAAACUGGCAACCUAGAGUAUGGGAGGGGGAGAUGGAAUUAGUGGUGUAGGGGUAAAAUCCGUAGAUAUCACUAGGAAUACCUAAAGCGAAGGCGAUCUCCUGGAACAUUACUGACGCUAAGGCGUGAAAGCGUGGGGAGCAAACAGGAUUAGAUACCCUGGUAGUCCACGCCCUAAACGAUGAACACUAGUCGUCGCCCUGCUUGUCAGGGCGGUGAUGCACUUAACAGAUUAAGUGUUCCGCCUGGGGAGUACGGUCGCAAGAUUAAAACUCAAAGGAAUAGACGGGGACCCGCACAAGUGGUGGAGCAUGUGGUUUAAUUCGAAGAUACGCGAAAAACCUUACCUGGCCUUGACAUUGAUAGAAUCCAGCAGAGAUGCAGGAGUGCCCUUCGGGGAGCUUGAAAACAGGUGCUGCACGGCUGUCGUCAGCUCGUGUCGUGAGAUGUUGGGUUAAGUCUCGCAACGAGCGCAACCCUCGUCCUUAGUUGCCAGCAGGUUAAGCUGGGCACUCUAGGGAGACUGCCUUCGCAAGAAGGAGGAAGGUGAGGACGACGUCAAGUCAUCAUGGCCCUUACGGCCAGGGCUACACACGUGCUACAAUGGGGCGUACAGAGUGUUGCAAUACCGCGAGGUGGAGCCAAUCACUUAAAGCGUCUCUCAGUUCGGAUUGUUCUCUGCAACUCGAGAGCAUGAAG